Non-coding RNA from Triticum urartu, 1768 nucleotides. The record is from Rfam. Lineage: Eukaryota; Viridiplantae; Streptophyta; Magnoliopsida; Poales; Poaceae.
GCCCACUCGGUAAUGCACAUCACUAUAAGCCUUGCAAGCAUUGCAACUAAAUGAGUUAGUUGUGGGAUGAUGCAUUACGAACGAGUAAAGAGACUUGCCGGUAACGAGAUUUAACUAGGUAUUGAGAUACCGAUGAUCGAAUCUCGGCAAGUAACAUACCGAUGACAAAGGGAACAACGUAUAUCGUUAUGCGGUUUGACCAAUAAAGAUCUUCGUAGAAUAUGUGAGAGCCAAUAUGAACGUCCAAGUUCCUCUAUUGGUUAUUAACCAAAGACGUGUCUCGGUCAUGUCUACAUAGUUCUCGAACUCGUAGGGUCCGCACGCUUAACAUUCGGUGACAAUCAGUAUUAUGAGUUUAUGUGUUUUGAUGUACCGAAGGUAGUUCAGAGUCCCAUAUUUGAUCACGGACAUGACGAGGAGUCUCGAAAUGGUCGAGACAUAAAGAUUGAUAUAUUGGACGGCUAUAUUCGGACACCGGAAGUGUUCCGGGUGAUUUCGGAGAAAACCGGAGUGCUGGAGGGUCACCGGAACCCCCCCCCCUCCCCCCAGGGGGAAAGUUGGGCCUUCAUGGGACAUAGGGAAGAGGGAGGAAGCCCACAAGGGGCAGCCGCAUCCCCUCCCUAUAGGGAGUCCGAAUUGGACUAGGGAGGGGGGCACCCCACCCCACCCCCCCCUUUCCUUCUCCUCUUCCUCUCCCUUCCUUCCUUCCCCUUCUCCUCCUAGUAGGACUAGGAAAGGAGGAAUCCUACUCCUACUAGGAGGAGGAUUCCUCCUCCCUUGGCGCGCCACUAGGGUUGGUCGGCCUCCCCCUUGCUCCUUUAUAUUCGGGGGCAGGGGCACCCUAGAACACACAAGUUGAUUGCUUCUAGCCGUGUGUGGUGUCCUCCUCCACCAUAAUCCACCUCGGUCAUAUCGUAGCGGUGCUUAGGCGAAGCCCUGUUCCGGUAGCAUCAUCAUCACCGUCAUCACGCCGUCAUGCUGACCAAGCUCUCCCUCGACACUCUGCUGGAUCGUAAGUUCGUGGGACGUCACCGAGCCGAACGUGUGCAAAUCGCGGGGGUGUCGUACUUUCGGUACUAGGAUCGGUCGAUCGUGAAGACGUACGACUACACCAAUCGCGUUGUCAUAACGCUUCUGCUUACGAUCUAUGAGGUACGUAGACAACACUCUCCCCUCUCGUUGCUAUGCAUCACCAUGAUCUUGCGUGUGUGUAGCAAAAAAAUUGAAACUACUACGUUCGCCAACAAGGGUGCCCUCGGGAACGCGGACACGGGUGGUGCAUGGAUAUUGUCAGCUCGUGUCCAAGGUGUUGGGUUAAGUCUCGCAAUGAGCACAACCCUCAUGUCUAGUUGCCACUAUGAGUUUGGAACCCUGAACAGACCACUAGUGUUAAGCCGGAGGAAGGAGAGGAUGAGGCCAAGUCAUCAUGCCCCUUAUUGCCAUGGGUGACACACGUGCUACAAUGGGCGGGACAAAGGGUCGCGAUCUCGCGAGGGUGAGCUAACUCCAAAAACUAGUCCUCAGUUCAGAUUGCAGGUUGCAACUCUGCUGCAUGAAGCAGGAAUCGCUAGUAAUCACCGGUCAGCCAUAUGGUUGUGAAUCAGUUCCCGGACCUUGUACACACCGCCCGUCACACUAUAGGAGCUGGCCAUGUUUGAAGUCAUUACCCUUAACCGUAUGGAGGGGGAUGCCUAAGGCUAGGCUUGCGACUGGAGUGAAGUCGUAACAAGGUAGCCAUAAUGGAAGGUGCGGCUAGAUCACCUCCUUU